RNAcentral lists this ribosomal RNA (372 nucleotides) under uncultured organism. RNAcentral describes it as "partial 16S ribosomal RNA". It matches the Rfam family "Bacterial small subunit ribosomal RNA", at positions 527 to 896 of the family's 1533-position model. The record is from RNAcentral.
GGAGGGUGCAAGCAUUAAUCGGAAUUAUUGGGCGUAAAGGGCGUGUAGGCGGAACUGUAAGUCAGAUGUGAAAUACCGAGGGCUUAACCUCGGUGCUGCAUUUGAAACUACAGAUCUGGAGGAUAGACGGAGAAAACGGAAUUCCACGUGUAGCGGUGAAAUGCGUGGAUAUGUGGAAGAACACCCGUGGCGAAAGCGGUUUUCUAGUUUAUUCCUGACGCUGAGGCGCGAGAGCAAGGGGAGCAAACAGGAUUAGAUACCCUGGUAGUCCUUGCCGUAAACGAUGUAUACUUGAUGUAGUUGGACUCAACCCCGACUGUGUCGUAGCUAACGCGAUAAGUAUACCGCCUGAGGAGUACGCUCGCAAGGGUG